CUCUAUGUUUGUAUAUCAAUUUCCUCUCCCAAGUUUUUCUCGUUACUUGCUUACGAAUAUUUUCUGGUUAUUCGUUGGCCGUUGCUACCUUUAGCUAGAUAUGAGUUUGUGUUUAUAGAUCUGAGUUUGUGUGUGUAGAUCUGAGUUUUGGUGUUUGUAUAUAACUUUCCUCUCUCAUUGGCCGUUGCCCAAUUUAGCUAGAUCUGAGUUUGUGUUUAUAGAUCUAAGUUUCUAUGAGUAGAUCUAUAAAAAGUAAAGGAUUUCUGCAGUUGGGGUUAUGGGCUUUUGCUAGGGAUGUGAUUUUUUGCUCUAUUAAUCUCUCUAGAUGCUGUGAUUGUGUUUAUUAAACUUUUUUUUUCUCUUCUUUUUGGUUUAGAUUUGGGUUUGGUUUUUUUUUUUUCCAAUCUCUAGUCUAUUUUCCAUUUUUUUUUCUUGCUAUUAAUUUAUCUGGAUGUUGUAUGUUGAGAAUCUGAAGUUCUCUAUUUCUCCACUGCGUUCAUUAAAUUUUUUUUCCUUCCUUUUGGUUUGGAUCUGGGUUUGGAGAAAUAUGAUAAAAAACUCAGCACGUACUCCAGUUUUUUUCCCAGGUUUAUAUUGGUUGGGAUCUGGAUUUCCACUGUAUUUAAUUUGAAACUUUUUCAUAAUGCAAAUAUAGAUAUAAGGUAUAAAAUUUUUCUUGAUGAAUGGGAAUCAGACCCAAGGGUCAAUGCAGGAAUGGAUAUUAAAGUGGUCGUUGCAGAGAUUCUAAAGGACAAAAACACACCUCUUGUCCAGAAGGUUCUUUUAUAAUGCUUGAUAUGUGCUGACAAUACAUAUCCGAGUUUAUCUGUAGGUGGUGAUAUCAAGCAUUUCUCAACCAAAAACCAUCUAUUAAAUGUGAUUGAGGUCUUGUUGUUCCUUAAAUAGAGCUUGUCAUGGAAUAGCAGUAUUGGAUUUACACAUGAGUAGCACCUUUUGUGCUUUUCUUUUUUGUUGAUAGUGGCCUUUUUUUAAGAUCUUGGUAGAUAUGAUAUUUGCAUUAGUGCUUUAUACCUCAAGCAAUAAUUGUGAAUAAAGUGACUAUAUAUGAUCCAACCUUUCUAGGAUUUGUUGAGAUAUUAAAUAGUCGAAUGAUAUUGACACUAGAGAUGGGGAAACUUUCAGGAAGAAAAAUAUCAAUAUUAUAUCAAGAUCAUACGACAAGUUUAACUUUCAACCUUGGGGUUUAGGUGUUAAUUUUUGUAUCCUUUUUCCCACGAUAAUGCUAGCUACUUGUUGAAUUCUCAGAUAUCACAAUUAAAUAAUAAUUAUAAAUGAAAUUGGGGUUCUUUCAUUUUCCUUUGGUUGGUUGGGGUGGACUGUGGAGUGGAUCAUGUGAUGGAAUAAACUCCUAAUAAAUAUGUAGACAAAGUUAUUGGAGAGAGUACUGAUUUAAUUAAAUAUGUAGACAACAACUUUGGGGGGCCUUCUCUUUUACCUGAUGUAAGAUUUGAGUAAUUCAUUUGUGCCCUUGCUCAAAAGCUGUUUUUCUCCAUUUAUUUCUUUUGGACUGAACUUAUUUUGGGAAAUGUUAUAGGAUCUUGAAUCAGGUCCAGCUUUUGAUCACUUGGAAAAUGCUCGACAUAAGUUUGAUGAUGGGCCAUUUUUCCUUAGGCAAUUCAGUUUGUUUAUGGCUUGCUAAUUGGAACAAUACCCUAUCAUCUGGAGCUACUCAUGCUGAUGUAUUGCAGCAAUUGAUGGAGCUUUUCUCAAAAUCAAUCUCAGGAUUGUAAUUUUCCACCUUAAUCAAGGUGGAAGACCCUUUGUAAUUGAUGUUAUUGUAAUUGAUUGUAAUUGAUUAUUUAUUUUGUUUUUUAUAAAUUUAUGUUUUGCAUUGUGAUGUAACAACAAUAUUAUCUAGUUUUCAUUUGUAUUUAUUUUGUUCUUCAA
Molecule: long non-coding RNA, 1908 nt
Organism: Carya illinoinensis
Lineage: Eukaryota; Viridiplantae; Streptophyta; Magnoliopsida; Fagales; Juglandaceae
Exons: 3
Source: RefSeq, a predicted model, not a curated record